UACAGCCAUAUCACAUUGAAACACAGGCUCUCUCACGAUCACCAAAGUUAAGCAACAUCAAGCCUGAUUAAUACCUAGAUGCAUGACUGCUUGGGAAUACCAGGUGCUGUAAGC
Acanthosepion pharaonis is the source of this 114-nucleotide non-coding RNA. The record is from the annotation of a GenBank genome assembly. NCBI's taxonomy places the organism in Eukaryota, Metazoa, Mollusca, Cephalopoda, Sepiida, Sepiidae.